RNAcentral lists this ribosomal RNA (1538 nucleotides) under Escherichia coli. RNAcentral describes it as "partial 23S ribosomal RNA". It matches the Rfam family "Bacterial large subunit ribosomal RNA", at positions 612 to 2136 of the family's 2925-position model. RNAcentral also lists the same sequence under 1 other name. The record is from RNAcentral. Lineage: Bacteria; Pseudomonadati; Pseudomonadota; Gammaproteobacteria; Enterobacterales; Enterobacteriaceae.
AUAAUGGGUCAGCGACUUAUAUUCUGUAGCAAGGUUAACCGAAUAGGGGAGCCGAAGGGAAACCGAGUCUUAACUGGGCGUUAAGUUGCAGGGUAUAGACCCGAAACCCGGUGAUCUAGCCAUGGGCAGGUUGAAGGUUGGGUAACACUAACUGGAGGACCGAACCGACUAAUGUUGAAAAAUUAGCGGAUGACUUGUGGCUGGGGGUGAAAGGCCAAUCAAACCGGGAGAUAGCUGGUUCUCCCCGAAAGCUAUUUAGGUAGCGCCUCGUGAAUUCAUCUCCGGGGGUAGAGCACUGUUUCGGCAAGGGGGUCAUCCCGACUUACCAACCCGAUGCAAACUGCGAAUACCGGAGAAUGUUAUCACGGGAGACACACGGCGGGUGCUAACGUCCGUCGUGAAGAGGGAAACAACCCAGACCGCCAGCUAAGGUCCCAAAGUCAUGGUUAAGUGGGAAACGAUGUGGGAAGGCCCAGACAGCCAGGAUGUUGGCUUAGAAGCAGCCAUCAUUUAAAGAAAGCGUAAUAGCUCACUGGUCGAGUCGGCCUGCGCGGAAGAUGUAACGGGGCUAAACCAUGCACCGAAGCUGCGGCAGCGACACUAUGUGUUGUUGGGUAGGGGAGCGUUCUGUAAGCCUGUGAAGGUGUACUGUGAGGUAUGCUGGAGGUAUCAGAAGUGCGAAUGCUGACAUAAGUAACGAUAAAGCGGGUGAAAAGCCCGCUCGCCGGAAGACCAAGGGUUCCUGUCCAACGUUAAUCGGGGCAGGGUGAGUCGACCCCUAAGGCGAGGCCGAAAGGCGUAGUCGAUGGGAAACAGGUUAAUAUUCCUGUACUUGGUGUUACUGCGAAGGGGGGACGGAGAAGGCUAUGUUGGCCGGGCGACGGUUGUCCCGGUUUAAGCGUGUAGGCUGGUUUUCCAGGCAAAUCCGGAAAAUCAAGGCUGAGGCGUGAUGACGAGGCACUACGGUGCUGAAGCAACAAAUGCCCUGCUUCCAGGAAAAGCCUCUAAGCAUCAGGUAACAUCAAAUCGUACCCCAAACCGACACAGGUGGUCAGGUAGAGAAUACCAAGGCGCUUGAGAGAACUCGGGUGAAGGAACUAGGCAAAAUGGUGCCGUAACUUCGGGAGAAGGCACGCUGAUAUGUAGGUGAAGUCCCUCGCGGAUGGAGCUGAAAUCAGUCGAAGAUACCAGCUGGCUGCAACUGUUUAUUAAAAACACAGCACUGUGCAAACACGAAAGUGGACGUAUACGGUGUGACGCCUGCCCGGUGCCGGAAGGUUAAUUGAUGGGGUCAGCGCAAGCGAAGCUCUUGAUCGAAGCCCCGGUAAACGGCGGCCGUAACUAUAACGGUCCUAAGGUAGCGAAAUUCCUUGUCGGGUAAGUUCCGACCUGCACGAAUGGCGUAAUGAUGGCCAGGCUGUCUCCACCCGAGACUCAGUGAAAUUGAACUCGCUGUGAAGAUGCAGUGUACCCGCGGCAAGACGGAAAGACCCCGUGAACCUUUACUAUAGCUUGACACUGAACAUUGAGCCUUGAUG